This 497-nucleotide ribosomal RNA is filed under the name uncultured bacterium. RNAcentral's name for it is "partial 16S ribosomal RNA". It matches the Rfam family "Bacterial small subunit ribosomal RNA", at positions 28 to 507 of the family's 1533-position model. The record is from RNAcentral.
GAUGAACGCUGGCGGCGUGCCUAAUACAUGCAAGUCGAGCGAACAGACGAGGAGCUUGCUCCUCUGACGUUAGCGGCGGACGGGUGAGUAACACGUGGAUAACCUACCUAUAAGACUGGGAUAACUUCGGGAAACCGGAGCUAAUACCGGAUAAUAUAUUGAACCGCAUGGUUCAAUAGUGAAAGACGGUUUUGCUGUCACUUAUAGAUGGAUCCGCGCCGCAUUAGCUAGUUGGUAAGGUAACGGCUUACCACGGCAACGAUGCGUAGCCGACCUGAGAGGGUGAUCGGCCACACUGGAACGGAGACACGGUCCGAACUCCUACGGGAGGCAGCAGUAGGGAAUCUUCCGCAAGGGGCGAAAGCCUGACGGAGCAACGCCGCGUGAGUGAUGAAGGUCUUCGGAUCGUAAAACUCUGUUAUUAGGGAAGAACAAAUGUGUAAGUAACUAUGCACGUCUUGACGGUACCUAAUCAGAAAGCCACGGCUAACUACGUG